This is a long non-coding RNA of Struthio camelus australis, 376 nucleotides long. RefSeq lists it as uncharacterized. NCBI's taxonomy places the organism in Eukaryota, Metazoa, Chordata, Aves, Struthioniformes, Struthionidae. The record is from RefSeq and is a predicted model, not a curated record.
CGCUGUUGGAAGUACUUCGCUGAAGCUAGACGCUGCCGAUCGCGUAUAUUCCUUAGAGAUCCACAUUCUACGCCAGAAGUCGCAUGCAGCCACAGGAUCACCUCGCUGAACCACUUUGCUUUUGAUACCUGUGUUAAGACCCAUGUGACUGGUUUAGGUAUCACUGAAAAGGAAGACCACCGUUUAUUGCACCAGCAAUACUGUUUUGAGAACGUCAGACUGCGUUAUCAGAGGGAUGAGGGAUUUCUCACCUAGAUACAGACAGACCUGUGAGCUGUUGUUUAUCUAACAGGAGUCAAAGUAGGCUUCUAAGCCUCAAACAGUGCCUAAAGCCUGAUGCUGUCUCUCAGAAGAGCGUAACUUCCUUACUGUUUGG